Molecule: small nuclear RNA, 103 nt
Filed under: Zalophus californianus (California sea lion)
Lineage: Eukaryota; Metazoa; Chordata; Mammalia; Carnivora; Otariidae
Also listed under: 1 other name
Source: RNAcentral
GUGCUCACUUCGGCAACACAUAUACUAAAAUUAGAACGACAGAGAAGAUUAGCAUGGCCCCUGUGCAAGGAUGACACAAAUUUGUGAAGCAUUCCAUUAAAAA